This 516-nucleotide ribosomal RNA is filed under the name uncultured bacterium. RNAcentral describes it as "bacterial SSU rRNA". It matches the Rfam family "Bacterial small subunit ribosomal RNA", at positions 35 to 518 of the family's 1533-position model. The record is from RNAcentral.
AACGGCUGGCGGCGUGCCUAAUACAUGCAAGUCGAACGGUCUUUCUAUGGAAGCUUGCUUCCACUGGAGAAGAUAGUGGCGAACGGGUGAGUAACACGUGGGUAACCUGCCCAUAAGAGGGGGAUAACAUCCGGAAACGGGUGCUAAUACCGCAUAGUUUUCUUGAUCGCAUGAUCGGGAAAGGAAAGACGGCCUUUGUGCUGUCGCUUAUGGAUGGACCCGCGGCGUAUUAGUUAGUUGGUGAGGUAACGGCUCACCAAGACGAUGAUACGUAGCCGACCUGAGAGGGUGAUCGGCCACAUUGGGACUGAGACACGGCCCAAACUCCUACGGGAGGCAGCAGUAGGGAAUCUUCCGCAAUGGACGAAAGUCUGACGGAGCAACGCCGCGUGAGUGAAGAAGGUUUUUUCGGAUCGUAAAACUCUGUUGUCAGAGAAGAACAAGUUGGAGAGUAACUGCUCCAGCCUUGACGGUAUCUGACCAGAAAGCCACGGCUAACUACGUGCCAGCAGCAGC